This is a long non-coding RNA of Pogoniulus pusillus (Red-fronted tinkerbird), 2142 nucleotides long. RefSeq lists it as uncharacterized. The record is from RefSeq and is a predicted model, not a curated record. Lineage: Eukaryota; Metazoa; Chordata; Aves; Piciformes; Lybiidae. The transcript has 2 exons.
GUGGGGACAGGUAACAGCAAGCAGAAGAUUGCUCAUAGAGAACUGCUCUCCUUGGGUACCCAACUCCAGACACUUCUCUGCUUCCAGAACUGCAUUCCUUGGGUAGCCAACUCCAGACACUUCUCUGCUUCUAGAACUGCUCUCCUUGGGUACCCAACUCCAGACACUUCUCUGCUUCCAGAACUGCUCUCCUUGGGUACCCAACUCCAGACACUUCUCUGCUUCCAGAACUGCUCUCCUUGGGUACCCAACUCCAGACACUUCUCUGCUUCCAGAACUGCAUUCCUUGGGUAGCCAACUCCAGACACUUCUCUGCUUCUAGAACUGCUCUCCUUGGGUACCCAACUCCAGACACUUCUCUGCUUCUAGAACUGCUCUCCUUGGGUAGCCAACUCCAGACACUUCUCUGCUUCCAGAACUGCUCUCCUUGGGUAGCCAACUCCAGACACUUCUCUGCUUCCAGAACUGCUCUCCUUGGGUAGCCAACUCCAGACACUUCUCUGCUUCCAGAACUGCUCUCCUUGGGUACCCAACUCCAGACACUUCUCUGCUUCCAGAACUGCUCUCCUUGGGUAGCCAACUCCAGACACUUCUCUGCUUCCAGAACUGCUUUCCUUGGGUACCCAACUCCAGACACUUCUCUGAUGCCUUUUUUUUACUGCUCUUUUGUAGCUUUGCUCUCUUGUUUCUAUUCAGUUUUGUCUUUCUGCAUGUGCAGCUUUCCCCCAGCUCAGUACAGGUCACUUCACUGCAUUUAAUACUUGUAUUUUGUUAGGAUCCUGCCUGGCUGAGCUUGUCCUGAGGGAUUUCACACACCUUGUUUUGUCUUUCAAAUCAGUGUUCUCUCCCCCCACCCUUUAGAGCCAGGAAAACAAAGUGAUUAAUUAGUGAGUUUAAAAGCUUCCACAGGUGGCAAACUGAAAGUUGGACCAAACUCAAAACACCUGAGCCUGGUGCAGUGAGACACAGCUGAGCAGUUCUCCAAACUCUUCCCUUUCUUUCCCUCAUCUGAAGGUGUCUGUUGCAGGAUCUUUUGCUGUUACAGUGUAAAAAGGGGGCUUAAAAGCUCUGCAUUGUGCAAUGUACUCCCCUUAACCAGGCACUGGGCAGGCUUCUGUGCUAUGUGGACUCUUUUACCAGUGCUGUGAUCCAGCUGAAAGUAAAUCCUAGAGGCUGAGGCUGGCUGCAGGGAGGAGUAAACCUCCUUUCUCUCUUCCUGUAAACUUAAAAGUGCAGCUGAGCCUUGAGAUGACUUUGGAAAAGCAGCUUUGGUUGCCAGGGUCACUGCUGUGAGGGUUGCAUGGUGCUGUGGCUCUGCCAGAAGAGGUGUGUGAGGUCACUGCCAAGUCAAAGUAGAGCCCUAAAGGUGUUGGGAACUCACUCUGCACUUGCCUCCCCAGCCCACUUUUAAGCAUUUCCUUCACACUACACUUGUUGGGAUGAAGAGGGGGGUGGGAAGAUUCACUUGGACCACCUAGGCUGAGGAAUGAAUGGACUGGAGAGCUCUGGCUGGCAGCUGGAGUCUGCUGGGCACUUACUGGUGGUCUUGAAGCACCUGAUACUUUAACUGAGAGGGUUAUAACCUACACUAAAUGCCCUGGGCCUGAGAAGCAGGAAUGAUGCUGAGCUGGGAGAGGGCAGUUGGGCUCUCCCCCAUGCCUUGCCGCAGCCUUCGGGGCUGGAGCAGCCCUUCCCCUCCCCUCUAUUUCAGCUAAAACAAAGCUACAGCCGUAACCCUUUGAUGUUUCCCUAAAGCAGAACUGCCCUUUUCCAGGAGCCAGCAGCCUUUUACCUGCUUCGCACUCCCUCGGGGCUUAAAACUAGACCAGCACUAAAACUCUUUGCAGCGGCUUGGCCGGGGAGGGGGGGAAGGAAGGAGCGAGCCCAGGUGCAGGUUGUGCUCCAGCCUCGCAGGAAAACCCGAACGAGCUUCCCCAGCGCCUAGAGCGAGUGCAAUAAGCAGCAGGACCGAGCUCAGCUGUUGGCUUUUAUUUGGGGUUGUUACUGUCCUUGGGUGUGUAUCGGAGCCGCGCGGUACUAACGCCCCCUGCCCGCACUCCCCGGUGGUGUAAGAGAGGCGGCUGCGAGUUCAGCCUUCGCCUGCCGGGCGCUGCACAAUAAAGCUGCUCUGAACGGCCUCUU